RNAcentral lists this ribosomal RNA (494 nucleotides) under uncultured bacterium. RNAcentral describes it as "partial 16S ribosomal RNA". It matches the Rfam family "Bacterial small subunit ribosomal RNA", at positions 28 to 507 of the family's 1533-position model. The record is from RNAcentral.
GACGAACGCUGGCGGCGUGCUUAACACAUGCAAGUCGAACGGUUAAGCGCCUUCCUUUUUGGUGGGUGGGGAUGAGUGGCGAACGGGUGAGUAACACGUGAGUAACCUGCCCCCUUCUUCUGGAUAACCGCAGGAAAGUGUGGCUAAUACGGGAUAUGCUGGGUCUGGCGCAUGAUGGGUCUGGGAGAGAUAUUGUGUCGGUGGGGGAUGGGCUCGCGGCUUAGCUGUUUGGUGGUGUGGUGAUGGCCUACCAAGGCGGUGAGGGGUAGCCGGCCUGGGAGGGUGGACGGUAACACUGGUACGGCGACGCCGACCAGACUCCUACGGGCGGCAGCAGUGGGGAAUAUUGCACGAUGGGAGCACGCUUGCUGCAGCGCCGCCGCGGGAGGGAUGGAGGUCUUCGUGUUGUGAACCUCUUUCGCGAGUGAAGCAGGCCUGCCUAGUUUGUGGGUGGGUUGACGGUAGCUGGAGAAGAAGCGCCGGCUAACUACGUG